This 253-nucleotide ribosomal RNA is filed under the name uncultured bacterium. Its description in RNAcentral is "partial 16S ribosomal RNA". It matches the Rfam family "Bacterial small subunit ribosomal RNA", at positions 524 to 776 of the family's 1533-position model. The record is from RNAcentral.
CACGUAGGGGGCAAGCGUUGUCCGGAAUUACUGGGCGUAAAGGGCUCGUAGGCGGCCAACUAAGUCGGACGUGAAAUCCCCAGGCUCAACCUGGGAACUGCGUCCGAUACUGGAUGGCUUGAAUCCGGGAGAGGGAUGCAGAAUUCCAGGUGUAGCGGUGAAAUGCGUAGAUAUCUGGAGGAAUACCGGUGGCGAAGGCGGCAUCCUGGACCGGCAUUGACGCUGAGGAGCGAAAGCCAGGGGAGCAAACGGG